GAUGAACGCUGGCGGCGUGCCUAAUACAUGCCAGUCGAGCGAACGGACGAGAAGCUUGCUUCUCUGAUGUUAGCGGCGGACGGGUGAGUAACACGUGGAUAACCUACCUAUAAGACUGGGAUAACUUCGGGAAACCGGAGCUAAUACCGUAUGAUAUUUUGAACCGCAUGGUUCAAUAGUGAAAGACGGUCUUGCUGUCACUUAUAGAUGGAUCCGCGCUGCAUUAGCUAGUUGGUAAGGUAACGGCUUACCAAGGCAACGAUGCAUAGCCGACCUGAGAGGGUGAUCGGCCACACUGGAACUGAGACACGGUCCAGACUCCUACGGGAGGCAGCAGUAGGGAAUCUUCCGCAAUGGGCGAAAGCCUGACGGAGCAACGCCGCGUGAGUGAUGAAGGUCUUCGGAUCGUAAAACUCUGUUAUUAGGGAAGAACAUAUGUGUAAGUAACUGUGCACAUCUUGACGGUACCUAAUCAGAAAGCCACGGCUAACUACGUG
Molecule: ribosomal RNA, 497 nt
Filed under: uncultured bacterium
Lineage: Bacteria
Description: partial 16S ribosomal RNA
Rfam family: Bacterial small subunit ribosomal RNA
Source: RNAcentral